RNAcentral lists this ribosomal RNA (466 nucleotides) under uncultured bacterium. RNAcentral's name for it is "bacterial SSU rRNA". It matches the Rfam family "Bacterial small subunit ribosomal RNA", at positions 28 to 495 of the family's 1533-position model. The record is from RNAcentral.
GAUGAACGCUAGCGGAAGGCCUAAUACAUGCAAGUCGAACGGAGAUAAUAUUUCGGUAUUAUUUUAGUGGCGCACGGGUGAGUAACGCGUACACAACCUACCUUAUAUUGGGGGAUAGCCCUGGGAAACUGGGAGUAAUACCGCAUAACAUUAUAGAGUGGCAUCAUUUAAAAUUAAAGCUGAGGCGAUAUAAGAUGGGUGUGCGUCUGAUUAGGUAGUUGGUAGGGUAAAGGCCUACCAAGCCGACGAUCAGUAGGGGGUGUGAGAGCACGACCAGUCACACGGGCACUGAGACACGGGCCCGACUCCUACGGGAGGCAGCAGUAAGGAAUAUUGGUCAAUGGACGAAAGUCUGAACCAGCCAUGCCGCGUGAAGGAUGAAGGCCCUCUGGGUUGUAAACUUCUUUUAUAGGGGACGAAAAAGGGAAUUCUUUCCCACUUGACGGUACCAGAAGAAUAAGCACCG